GUCCUGAAGAAAUCAGGCUUGCUCGGCAGAUAGAUAGGAACCGCAAGUCUGCAUAUCUGGAGAUAUAACUUAUUUCUGAAGUGUGGAAUCCAUUCAUUGUGGAAUACAAGGAUUCUUUGGUUGAAAAGGAUUUAUACUGCCCUAUAGAGCUUUAUGAUGGCGAAAAGACUUUGUUCACAAUUGGCCUUCUUCCCCAUGUCAACAAUGAGUUCACUGUCAUACUUGAUGAUAUGCCUUUGAAGAGAAAUGACAAUCGUGGUGGAAAUGAUAGUUCUGCUGAAGGUGAGCGUAAGCGUUCUAGGCGCUCGUAUAAUGCAAAGACUAUCAAAGUUGAGCUUAGCUUUGCAGCUAAAAUCCCAAUGCAAUGCAUUGUGUUGGCUAAGAGACUGAAAACACACAGGAAGCAUUGGUAGUGCUUGAUAUCAUUUUGCGACAACAUGCUGCCAAGUAGUAUGCAUAUCAAGUUCCCUGCAUUUUUACCUUAAAUUAUUUUGGAAUUGUUGAAAUAGCUUGGUAAUUUUGUUUAUAAAAUUUUUAUGUAUGGGUGCCUGCUUAUACGCCAAGUUGAAGUUCUUUGCAUUCGAAUAUGUAUUGAUAUGGAUAUGGAGCUGGAUCCCACACUGCAA
Molecule: long non-coding RNA, 626 nt
Organism: Dendrobium catenatum
Lineage: Eukaryota; Viridiplantae; Streptophyta; Magnoliopsida; Asparagales; Orchidaceae
Exons: 4
Source: RefSeq, a predicted model, not a curated record